This 585-nucleotide ribosomal RNA is filed under the name uncultured bacterium. RNAcentral's name for it is "partial 16S ribosomal RNA". It matches the Rfam family "Bacterial small subunit ribosomal RNA", at positions 355 to 1375 of the family's 1533-position model. The record is from RNAcentral.
UGGGGAAUUUUGGACAAUGGGGGAAACCCUGAUCCAGCCAUCCCGCGUGUGCGAUGAAGGCCUUCGGGUUGUAAAGCACUUUUGGCAGGAAAGAAACGUCGCGGGUUAAUACCCCGCGAAACUGACGGUACCUGCAGAAUAAGCACCGGCUAACUACGUGCCAGCAGCCGCGGUAAUACGUAGGGUGCAAGCGUUAAUCGGAAUUACUGGGCGUAAAGCGUGCGCAGGCGGUUCGGAAAGAAAGAUGUGAAAUCCCAGAGCUUAACUUUGGAACUGCAUUUUUAACUACCGGGCUAGAGUGUGUCAGAGGGAGGUGGAAUUCCGCGUGUAGCAGUGAAAUGCGUAGAUAUGCGGAGGAACACCGAUGGCGAAGGCAGCCCCCUGGGAUAACACUGACGCUCAUGCACGAAAGCGUGGGGAGCAAACAGGAUUAGAUACCCUGGUAGUCCACGCCCUAAACGAUGUCAACUAGCUGUUGGGGCCUUCGGGCCUUGGUAGCGCAGCUAACGCGUGAAGUUGACCGCCUGGGGAGUACGGUCGCAAGAUUAAAACUCAAAUGAAUUGACGGGGUCAUAGCUGUUUCCU